AUGGAGGCAACGGCGGUUAGCGUGGGCAAAGCCGUGCUUGAUGGUGCGCUGGGCUACGCCAAGUCGAAGGCGGCGGAGGAAAUCGCGUUGCAGCUCGGCGUCGAGCGCGAUGUGGACUUCAUCAAGGAUGAGCUGCAGAUGAUGCAGUCAUUCCUGAUGACGGCGGAUGAGGAGCAAAGCCAGAACAAGGUGCUCACCACCUGGGUGAAACAGAUCGGGGUCCUGGCCUACAAGGUGGAGGACAGCCUCAUGGAUUUUGGCCUCCACUCAGAGAAAAAGCCAUUUUUGGGGUGCAUCCCCCGCAAUCCGGGUGAUCGACGCCGCAUCGCCAAGGAGGUGAAGGAGCUGAGGGCCAAAGUGGAGGACGUGAGCAACAGGAACCUGCGCUACCGCCUCAUCAAUGAAAGCUCAGGCUCCAAGCCUACUGCGGCAAGGGAGCAGGCAAGCAUUGCCACUUCGGCAAUGUUUGGCAUCAACGAGACGAGGCUUGAAAAUUCAUCAGAGGUGGGCCUCCAUCAGCUGAUUACCAGCAACGAUGUGGACCUUAGGGUGAUUGCCUUGUGGGGAACUUGUAGUGAUCUCGGGAAGACGACCGCCAUCCAGGAGGUUUAUGAUGACCAUGAGGUAUUGCAACGGUUUGGAUUCCGUGCUUGGAUUAGGUUGAUGCAUCCUUUCAAUCCACAAGAGUUCCUCAAGAGUUUGUUAAAGCAAUUUUAUGAAAAUUCACAUGAUGAGGUUGGAGAGGCAGAACAAGAGACAAGUGUCGGGGCUAAUGUUUUGGCCAUGAUGAGGAAGAUGGAUCAAAGUGAUUUAAUUCGUGAGUUUAAUGUGCAGUUGUGUAGCAAUAGCUACCUGAUUGUGAUUGAUGACUUAUCAACAAUAGUGCAGUGGCAUUGCAUUAAGAAGUAUUUUCCCGACAACAAGAAACAAAGUAGAAUCAUUGUUUCCGCACAACAAGUUGAAAUUGCAAGAUUGUGCAUAGAGAAACCGUGUCAAGUUUCAGAGUUCAAGCAGCUGACAUGUGAUCAAACUAUUUAUUUGUUCCACAAGAAGAAUUCAGAGGAGCAGGUCGUCCUGGGCAGAAUUGCUAGAAAGAUGUUUGAUCGCAGCAGGACACUGGCACUGGCUGAUGAAGUGCUCUGUGGGCGAGAAACAGACAAAUCUUUUGUUAUCAGACUAGUUGGCCAACCAUACAGCAAUCGAGGCUCUAAUGUGAUCUCAGUUUGGGGAAAGGGCUAUCUUGGAAAAACAACUCUUGUCCGAAGUGUCUACCGAAGCCAAGAGCUUGGUGGCUGGAAGCGUGCUUGGGUCACUGUAUCACACCCUUUUAACCCUGAAGCACUCCUUAGAGAUUUGGCUUUGCAGCUUCGGAAUGCUAUUCCAGAAGAUCGUGCUGGAUCAACAGCAACUGGAGAACAAAAGAAAAUAAUAUCAGAGAUGAAACUUCAAGAGUUGGAGGAGGAGCUAGCUCGGGUACUAAUAAGGCAAAGGUGCCUUGUUGUUGUUGAUGAUAUAUGGUUCACUUCUGAAUGGGAUUUGGUCAAACAGGGUUUACAUAAUGCUGGAAAGAUCAUAGUCACGACAAGAGAAGGAUAUAUUGCCAAACAUUGUUCUCGAGACGACAAGAACAUCUACUGUCUUCAAGGUCUGAUGGCUGAUGGUGCACUUGACCUCUUCAUAGAAAAGGUAUUCAAGAACAAUACUGAAAAAAAUUAUUUAACCCCAGCAAUGAUGGAGCAAGCAAAAAUUACUGUACAGAAAUGUCAUGGACAUACCCUUGCAAUAUUGACAAUUGGUGGAUUCCUAGCCACUAGGCCAAAAACUGCUAUUGAAUGGAGGAAGAUGAAUGAUUGUAUUAGCACUGAAUUUGAUACAGAUCCAGAACUUACUACAAUAAAGACAAUCCUUAUGAGGAGCUAUGAUGGUUUGCCAUAUCAUCUCAAGUCUCCUUUCUUGUACCUAUCCAUAUUUCCAAAAGACUGGAGAAUGAGGUGGGGUCGCUUGGUGAGGCGGUGGAUUGCAGAGGGUUACUCAAAGGAUAUGCGUUCCAUGACUGCAGUUGAAGUUUGUCAGAUGUAUUUUGACGAGCUCCUGGAUAGGGGUAUGAUCCUUCCAUGGGAAGGGACAAACCAUUACCAUGAGAAAAUCAGCUCUUGGCAGCUUCAUGAUAUGAUCCGUGCAAUAUGCAUCCCAAAGGCUAGGGAGGACAACCUUGUUUCCACACUGGAGGAAGGAUGCUGUUUAAGCGACCCACAAGAUGCAAUAAGGCAUCUUGUCAUACGCCGCAGCUGGAAAAGGGAUAAAGAUGUGCUGGAGAGCAAGCUAGACUUGUCACAUGUGCGGUCAUUGACCGUGUUCGGAGAAUGGAGAUCGUUUUUCAUCUCCGAUAAUAUGAGGUUCCUCCGAGUGCUCGACUUAGAAGAUGCAAUAGGGUUAAGGGAUCAUCAUCUUGAUCAAAUUGGGAAGCACCGUCACCUCAAGUACCUUUCUCUACGAGGAUGUCAUGACAUUUUAUCCCUGCCUAACUCUUUGGGGAAUUUGAGGCACCUUGAAACACUGGACGUUAGAGGUACACUUAUACAUGAGUUGCCAACAACAAUCACCAAUUUUCUGGAGCUGCAGUGCCUUCAUGCAGAUGAUCUUUUCUUGAGACCACAAGUUUUAGAUGCUUGUUUGAACAGGUAUGAUUUAUUCAGUCUACACUGCUUCUCGAAGGAGUGUUCAGAAAAUGUUAUCCUUCCUAGAGGGAUUGGCAGGUUGAAGGCCCUUGACACACUAGGUUUCGUCAAUGUUUCUGGGAGAAACGGAAGUUCCACUAUUAAACAGUUCGGAUAUCUUACUCAGCUGCGUAAGCUUAGAGUGGCUGGUAUCAGCGGGGAAGACAGUAAUGAGUUAUGGUCUGCCAUCUCUGGUCACAGUCAACUUCGAUCUCUGUCAGUGAAAGGGAAUGAGUUAGAUGGUUGUUUUGGUGAGGGUUUGUUACGACCUGCAAGCUUCCAGUCGCUGCAUAAGCUUCAGAAUCUCUCCAAGUUGAAGCUAGAGCAUACCCUGUUGAAGCAAGAUGAUGAUGCCAUACAAGCCCUUGGGUGUCUACCAAAUCUUGUAGUUCUACACCUGAUGAUUGAUUCAUUCACGGGUACAGAGCUCCAUUUUCAGAGCUCAUCUUUCCCGAGUCUCAUGGUGCUGCAGCUUGUUGGACUAAGAGGCCUCCAGUUGGUGUUUUUUCAUGCAGGCACGAUGCCUCAGCUCAAGCUGUUACAAGUUGGUCUUUGCUCAGAGCUGAAAGACAUCUCGUGUCUACCAUCCCUCACCAACCUCGAUGAAAUUCGGUUUACUUCUCUCAAUGGAAGUGUGAAGGAAGAGGUGCAGAGGCAGGUAGCCGAGCAUAUGAGGCAUGUCAGACUGAAUAUUGUGGACUAA
Molecule: ribosomal RNA, 3420 nt
Filed under: Triticum aestivum (bread wheat)
Lineage: Eukaryota; Viridiplantae; Streptophyta; Magnoliopsida; Poales; Poaceae
Description: partial small subunit ribosomal RNA
Source: RNAcentral